UACGUAGGGUGCAAGCGUUGUCCGGAAUUAUUGGGCGUAAAGAGCUCGUAGGCGGUCUGUCGCGUCGGCUGUGAAAUCCCGAGGCUCAACCUCGGGUCUGCAGUCGAUACGGGCAAACUGGAGUGUUGCAGGGGAGACUGGAAUUCCUGGUGUAGCGGUGAAAUGCGUAGAUAUCGAGAGGAACACCUGCGGCGAAGGCGGGUUGCUGGGCUGACACUGACGCUGAUGCGCGAAAGCUAGGGGAGCGAACGGG
RNAcentral lists this ribosomal RNA (253 nucleotides) under uncultured bacterium. RNAcentral's name for it is "partial 16S ribosomal RNA". It matches the Rfam family "Bacterial small subunit ribosomal RNA", at positions 524 to 776 of the family's 1533-position model. The record is from RNAcentral.